CUUCACCAGGCUCCCGACGGGAGUGGGUGUGUGAGAGAGGAGGGGUGUGGAAACAGCGAGGGCUGGCGGCGUGUGAUGAGGCACACCUGAACGGAAUGGAGCCUCAUCACCGCCGAUGUUUAAAGCGGUCUUUUCCCCGUGCAUGCACACUGGUGUCCUUGUGGGUCCAGGAAGGGAGCGUGGAGGGACUUCCGUGCCGCCAGAGACGUGAGCUGCCGGACCCGCGGUCCGGACGAAACCGCACCCGUGUUACGGUCGUCGGGCCAGGAUGCCGGGCCGACCAAGUCCCGCCGAACGCCGAGGGCCAAGAGGAAGUGCCGCCGCUAUGAUGAAGCCGCUGCCACUCGCGCCCCGGACCCGAGUGGGAGCGUGUGUGGCCGCCGGACUCCGCCCCUUACCUGGACCCUCCCUUCCAGGACACUGCCCUCCUUCACAAGCCCCGCAGCACGACAAGGACACCAGACCCCUUGUUUAUUUUGGACACUUUAUCCCCUUUGGACACUUUAUUUUAUUAUUUCUGUUUAAUAAAAGCCUCUCCGAGGCCUGACGCCAGACCCACUGUGUCUGUCGUUUGCUCCUCCCGCCACAAUAUAUAAUAUAUAUUAUAUAUAAGUUUAAUAGUUUCAUCUAAUAUUUUAAUUUGAUUUUAUUUAAGCUUUAUUUCAGUCAGUGAAAACUAUUUUAAUUAUUUCAUUUUUAGUUAACAAUAACAACACUGAUUUGAAAAUACCUGGCUUAGGAGAUUUAAGUAUGUUGUCAUUUAUGUUUAUCUGCAUUGUCUACAGUGUUUCUCCUCAAAUUCCUAAAUAUAAUCACCUAUCAAAUAAUUGUUGACAUACAAUAAGAGUAUUGAUCUGUAACGCUAAACAUGAAACAGCAUUCCAUAUUUGAAUCCCCCCAUAUUAGUUUUGUUAUCUGAAAUAUUAAUAGUAAAUAGGGUCAAUUUUGUUCUAAUGUAAACUAGCAGAUUAGAUCGUUUGGUCUUGAAGAAUUUGAUAAGAAAUGUUGCAUUUCUUAUUGAAAUUGUUUUGAUAUCACGUUGUGAUGUCCUGACAAAUCUGAGCAUUGAUUUGAGAUCUCUUCUGAAACUUUAGAGGAGAUACACAAGAUUACAGGGCCUUUUUCUUAAAAGCACGAUAAAAGCAUUUGCUCUCCGUUUAAUCACAUUUGUCAUGAGAGCUCUCAUUUGUGUUCUUUCUUUCCUUCGUGUUUCAUCUAGUAUCUCAGGUAACAAUUACAGUGUAUUUUUAUGAGGCUUUUAUUCGUUUUAAUUAACAGAUGAAUCUGUCGAGAGAAAGGUGAUAUGACACCGUGACAGAUGUUAUUUUCACCUCCUCUUUAUUCUGUGCUUAAAGCUAUUUAAGUGUGAUUAUGAUUUGUUAUGAUCAUAAAUGUUGUCGCUAAAAUGAACAUGCUCUCAAAUAGUUUUAAUGAUUCUUUUUCAAUGUUAAAGAAUCAAAAAAUAACACAGUUACAAUUCAAAAACACUGUUUUAUUAACUUGAAAUACCCUCUCUUUUUUAGCAAUGUCAAUAUUAAUCAGGAACAUAUCUUUGUUCUGUUGGCUGCUUUCCACUCAUUAGAAGCACUGGGGAUAUUAAACAAAAAUAAAUAACUGCUAACUAUAAACCCAAGAUUAAAACCGAAAGACAAGCACUCAAACUUGUGAUAGACAUUGCUGUAGAGUUCUAUAUGCUACUGACAGGAGGCGGGAGCGGGAGCGGGAGAGAUCGAGUCAAAUUGGUUUAUUCCGACCCAUGGUCCUCGGCACUCGGCUGAUUUCAGACGACGCCUGUCACCUGCCUCCAUUUCUGCUUUUAUAAACUGUGCACCGGCCCUUCGGAAAAGGUCAGCUUUUUAUUUCCAGAGACAAACGGCGUUGGGAGGGAAGAGGUGGCGACAAACGUUACAAUGGAGGCUGGAAAUUGCACCUGGUUUACCUUGGGAGCUCGGUGCGCCAUCUGGAUGUUUUGCUUAAGAUCUCCUCUCUUUUUGACUAAAAGAGGAAGUGGACGACUGACGGUCGCCCGCGAAGUUGUCAGUGCGAACUUCAUAGCUCGAGUGGAUUUUUUUUUUUUCCCCCCGCCCCCUUCUCUCUCUCGAGUCCUGUUUUACUCUUGACAUUUGUAGAUGCCAGAUUGGGCUGUAAUAUACUGUUGCUUCUAUUGCCCGCCAGCAUAUGCCGAAAUACCACCUGAUAUCUCGAGUGCUCGCUGUAGCUGGAGAUUGGCACAACCCAGCAUGCACUGUAUUCAGGCUCAUUUCCAUUUCACACCAGCAGGAGAGAAUUCUGGGAUGGGGCCCCCUGAGAGUAUUUGGAAGUGACACAGCCAUUUCUGCACUUCCAGCUCUGUGACAGAGUUAAAGCGGAGAGAUGGAUAGCCUCCCAUAGCUGCAUGCUGGCCUGCUGUGAAGAGAGAGAGAGAGAGAGAGAGAAAGCUAGCACAACUCUAUUGAAGGACCCUUCACACACUUAACAAACCUAAUUAUUGGUAUUUGCUAAAGAUAUCUAGAGUGCAUGAUGAUCAAUGUCAUUUUAUACAUUGACUUGGCAAAUGAGAUGUACACAAAUGUUUUUUUUUUCUUUGUAACUAAAUCUUGAAAAAAGAAAAUUUGUACAGUUACUAGACAAAAUGGCAUUUUUCUUUUAAUUGCUACAAUUGAUGCAGAUAACCUCAAAAUGAUCAAUAUGGGCCGAUAGCAUAUAUCGAUCUGUUACCAUGAGUGAUAUGGCAUGAUUUUUUUGUUUUUAAAAUAUGAAAACCAGUGUUAUUGUAGUUAAAUAAAACUAAAAGCAUGAAAAAAGUACCGGUACUUAAUAAAAUAAACUUUAUAAUAAAACUUUUGCUAUUUUAAUUUAGUUUAACUUGAAGUACUAAAAUAACUCAAAUUAAAAGUGAAAUAAAAAUGAAUAAAGACUGUAUAAAAAUAAACAUAUAAACAUAAUAUAAAAAUAAACUAUAUUAACAUAUAAAAUAAAUAAAAACUACUAAAAUGACAAAAACACAACAAAAUUACUAAAACUUUAACUAAAAUUAAAAGGAAAAUAGAAAAUGUGUAUAUUCAAAAGAUUAUUAAAAACUAUAGUAUCUCAGUGAUACUAAGAUGUUGAAACUGUUGAAAACAGAUAAUUUACACGGUCACUAGGCAGAAUUACAAAUGUCUUCUAUUUAGCACAGAUGAUGCUGAUAAUCUGAUAACUGUCAAAUAUCGGCCGAUAUAUUGGUCUAUUGCCAUAUGUGAUAUGCCGCAUGAUUUUUAUAAAUUUAUUUUUAAUAAAAUGGGUGAAAAACAUAAGACUUAAGAUGGGAUCUGGCCUGUAUCUAGAGACAAAGUGUUCUUUUAUUUUAUUCACGCCUGUAAACAACCACCGACUAUAGCAACACUUAGAAACCACUCAGAGCUCUCUAUCAACCAUGUACAGUAAUAAUGCUCAAGAAACAAAAAAUCUAGAUCAGGCUUCAUAAUAUCUGCUUUCUUUGAGACACAAUGCUGUUUAAUAGCGUUCUGUGUACUCAUGGUUUAGCUAAAGUGGCUGUUGACGAGAUGUUUUUGACCGAGAACUACCUCAUGAUUGCUUUGUAAAAUCUAUCAUUAUUGUCCUCACGCCCCCUGUUUAAUCACAGAUCAUUGACGAAGCUUCUCUCGUUCUCCCCUCAGGGAAAACAUUGCGAAGAAGUGUUUGUAAUGCAGAGGAGCCGUCUGCGGUGACGGGGGACAGACCGUCCCCAUCUCGCACCUACCUCCCGCUUAACUAACAUGUGUCUUUCGUCGUACCUGUCUCAUCAGCCGUGAUUAUGCUGUGCCUCCGUGCAGUUGGCGCGCAUUAGGGGAGGGGAUGAGAAAAUAAACAACUAAGGUGCUUUUCGACUCCGGAAUAAGCAUUGGAAAAGUGGGACUGUCAAAGCAGUCACUACGAUCUGAGAGGUGUUGACUAAUUGCCUGCUAAUUACACAGUAAAUUGUCUAAUUAAGCUGAUGGUUAAUUAGGGUAAGCUUGCACAGCAAGUCUUGUGGAAGUCGCUCUCUCUCUUUCUCUUUCUCUUUUUUUUUUUAUUAUUAACAGAGAGAAAGCGAGAGAGUGUGUGGCUUGCCCGGGAACCUGGCUGUGUAAUUGGCGCACUGGCAGUGACUGGCGGUUAACAUGACACGGAGAGGCGAUAGAAGUAAAGACUGACAGAAUCGGGGGUUUGCGGCAAACAGCGCCACUUGUCAUUUGUGCAGGGGCCCGAGCCGCGGCCCCCCUCGUGUUGCCAGCGAUGCUGUGACAGCCAACAGCAUUGCACUCAACCAGACUUCUCAAAACCAGUUUCUUCUCCUUUUUCUCACCUUACAGAAUCCUAGGCCUGCUGCUUUUACUCCAGCUUUUGUGGUUUAUAGUGGGAGCCAAAAUCUGAGGGUUUUUUUAAGAUAUUAUAUAUAUAUAUAUAUAAAAUUCAAUUUGGAAACCAAUUUUAAGUUAUAAAGUGAAGACAAAAAUAUGUGUUUCAGAUGUUAGCACUAAUUCUAGGUCACUAUCAAAGCAAACUUGUGACAUUGGCCUUGGCAUUGACAAACCAUGUAUUAGGACAUUCUGUAAUUCAUUUACAUGUUUUUUUUCAUUAAAGUUUCCAUUCUUAUUAUUACAGCAUUAUUUACUUUUGUAUCGAUUUUAUAUAUAUAUACCA
Long non-coding RNA from Onychostoma macrolepis, 4665 nucleotides. RefSeq lists it as uncharacterized. Lineage: Eukaryota; Metazoa; Chordata; Actinopteri; Cypriniformes; Cyprinidae. The record is from RefSeq and is a predicted model, not a curated record. The transcript is spliced from 3 exons.